GGGCCCGUAGCUCAGCGGCAGAGCAAGCGGCUCAUAACCGCCAGGUCGCAGGUUCGAUCCCUGCCGGGCCCA
Molecule: transfer RNA, 72 nt
Filed under: Chloroflexota bacterium
Lineage: Bacteria; Bacillati; Chloroflexota
Description: Chloroflexi bacterium tRNA-Met
Rfam family: tRNA
About the family: Transfer RNA (tRNA) molecules are approximately 80 nucleotides in length.
Source: RNAcentral